RNAcentral lists this ribosomal RNA (253 nucleotides) under uncultured bacterium. Its description in RNAcentral is "partial 16S ribosomal RNA". It matches the Rfam family "Bacterial small subunit ribosomal RNA", at positions 524 to 776 of the family's 1533-position model. The record is from RNAcentral.
UACGGGGGGGGCAAGCGUUGUUCGGAAUUACUGGGCGUAAAGGGCUCGUAGGUGGCCAACUAAGUCAGACGUGAAAUCCCUCGGCUUAACCGGGGAACUGCGUCUGAUACUGGAUGGCUUGAGAUUGGGAGAGGGAUGCGGAAUUCCAGGUGUAGCGGUGAAAUGCGCAGAUAUCAGGAGGAGCACCGGUGGCGAAGGCGGCUUGCUGGGCCUUACCUGACGCUGAGGAGCGAAAGCGUGGGGAGCGAACAGG